AAAAAGAUGCCUUCGGUCGUAACGCCACCUUGAAGUCAAUAUUUGGCCAACAUUCGCUCAUUCAUGAGCAACUUGGCUUAGACUAUAAAAAUUGUAACAGGAACAUGAAAUUGAAUUUAUAAUGCAUGCACAUUGUACAAUCCAGCCCACAUUUUUUAUACGGUCACCAAUAUAAUUUUGGAAACAUUGGAAAUUUCCGCUAUUCUACUUUCGAAAUCGCCUCGCGUUUCUCCUCCAUUCGCGGGCCAUUCCCACAAUUCACCUCGCGCAAGCGCAGUUCCCGUUUCGCGUGUAUCGAGUCGCCAUAAUAAUGAAUCAGAACAUGUUUGACGAAAGCAACCCAAGAACGCUCUACGUUGGGAACCUGAGCGACAAUGUUUCAGAAGAAUUCUUGUUAACACUCUUUGGACAGAUUGGACCAUGUAAAUCCUGUAAAAUCAUCCACGAGGUAAGUGGUCAUUUUUCGUCCUUUGGUCACAAUGGCUUCUUGGUACGGUUCUGAUUUGUGCUAUAAAUCUGACUUACCCCCCUUUGUUUAGUGUUGUCCAAUCUUGAAAACUUUCCUUUCAUUGAAACCUCCUUCACCGGUUAAUUCUGAUUACUUUAAUUAUUCUAAUAUUACUGUGAUUUGAAGCUCUUGUAAACCUAUGAUAAAUGGGAAGUCUUUGUAAAAGGAUUGAUGGCUAUUCAUAAUCAUACCACUGACCGCUGUCUCUCUCAGUGCUUGCAGAAGACUCACUACUCUAAGAAAGUAGAAAGUUCAAGUUGUUGCACCAACACUCUACUCCUCAAACUCUUCUCUUACUCUAGAUUAGUUCUAAGGGUUAGCUUCUCAGGCGCAUUCAAUUUAAUCAUAUCCAUUACCAAUUAUUCUCUUAAACUAAGACUUAGUUCAGUCUGGUCAGUUGCUAUAUUAUAUUGAAGACAGGGGCCCUCUAUGCCAGUCUAUGGCUGUCCAGUGCCUGCUACCAGGCCUACCUAGAUCUAGAAUCAAGCAUCUUUUGUCAAACAAACCAUUAAAAGCGUAUUUUUUUACAGUAUGAAAUUCUCAAUUUGAAGGACCAUACUAUGCUUCUUCAUUUUAAAUUGAUCUCAAUAGGCCCUAAAACUUCAAGUUCAAGACGUCACACAUGUUUGGUGUGACUUACGCUUAAAAUUACAUGCCAUGCGAUUAACUCUUUUUAUCCUAGCCGUACCCCCACGGACUCUGUACCCGUCCUGGGGCCGCCGUGCCGUAUGAGUCUGAAGUCAGUGCGUAUAGUUCAAAGUGCUAUAUUUCUUACUUUUACUCUAAGGUUUUAAGGAAAUUUGGCA
Molecule: long non-coding RNA, 1314 nt
Organism: Aplysia californica (California sea hare)
Lineage: Eukaryota; Metazoa; Mollusca; Gastropoda; Aplysiida; Aplysiidae
Exons: 3
Source: RefSeq, a predicted model, not a curated record